UACGAAGGGGGCUAGCGUUGCUCGGAAUUACUGGGCGUAAAGCGCACGUAGGCGGCUUCUUAAGUCGGUGGUGAAAUCCUGGAGCUCAACUCCAGAACUGCCUUCGAUACUGGGAGCUCGAGUCCGGGAGAGGUGAGUGGAACUGCGAGUGUAGAGGUGAAAUCGUAGAUAUUCGCAAGAACACCAGUGGCGAAGGCGGCUCACUGGCCCGGUACUGACGCUGAGACGCGAAACGUGGGGAGCGAACGAG
This 250-nucleotide ribosomal RNA is filed under the name uncultured bacterium. RNAcentral's name for it is "partial 16S ribosomal RNA". It matches the Rfam family "Bacterial small subunit ribosomal RNA", at positions 524 to 776 of the family's 1533-position model. The record is from RNAcentral.